GCCUUUCUAGUAUAAUAAUUACAAUUGACUUCCAAUCAUUUAAAUCUGGUACUAACCCAGAGAAAGGCA
Molecule: transfer RNA, 69 nt
Filed under: Nesotrochis steganinos (Haitian cave-rail)
Lineage: Eukaryota; Metazoa; Chordata; Aves; Gruiformes; Rallidae
Description: tRNA-Gly
Source: RNAcentral